This 456-nucleotide ribosomal RNA is filed under the name uncultured bacterium. RNAcentral's name for it is "bacterial SSU rRNA". It matches the Rfam family "Bacterial small subunit ribosomal RNA", at positions 28 to 507 of the family's 1533-position model. The record is from RNAcentral.
GACGAACGCUGGCGGCGUUGCUUAACACAUGCAAGUUGGACGGCUGUGGAUGAAGCUUGCUGAAGUGCACAGCAGUAGCGGACGGGUGAGUAAUGCAUGAGUACCUGCCCUGGGAGGGGGACAACAGCUGGAAACGGCUGCUAAUACCCCGUAAGCCGGGAGGUGAAAGGGAGCGAUCCCGCCCUGGGAUGGGCUCAUGUCCUAUCAGCUGGUUGGUGAGGUAACGGCUCACCAAGGCGACGACGGGUAGCCGGACUGAGAGGUCGACCGGCCACACUGGAACUGAGAUACGGUCCAGACUCCUACGGGAGGCAGCAGUGGGGAAUAUUGGGCAAUGGGGGCAACCCUGACCCAGCGACGCCGCGUGAGGGAAGAAGGCCUUCGGGUUGUAAACCUCUUUUGUAUGGGAAGAAGGACGUGACGGUACCGUACGAAUAAGUCCCGGCUAACUACGUG